UACAGAGGUCUCAAGCGUUGUUCGGAUUCAUUGGGCGUAAAGGGUGCGUAGGCGGCGCGGUAAGUCGGGUGUGAAAUCUCGGGGCUUAACUCCGAAACUGCAUUCGAUACUGCCGUGCUUGAGGACUGGAGAGGAGACUGGAAUUCAGGUGUAGCGGUGAAAUGCGUAGAUAUCAGUGAACGAAGACCGGUGGCGAAGGCGGGUCUCUGGACAGUUCCUGACGCUGAGGCACGAAGGUCAGGGGAGCAAACGGG
This 254-nucleotide ribosomal RNA is filed under the name uncultured bacterium. RNAcentral's name for it is "partial 16S ribosomal RNA". It matches the Rfam family "Bacterial small subunit ribosomal RNA", at positions 524 to 776 of the family's 1533-position model. The record is from RNAcentral.